Long non-coding RNA from Nothobranchius furzeri (turquoise killifish), 1344 nucleotides. RefSeq lists it as uncharacterized. The record is from RefSeq and is a predicted model, not a curated record. NCBI's taxonomy places the organism in Eukaryota, Metazoa, Chordata, Actinopteri, Cyprinodontiformes, Nothobranchiidae.
CUCCGUGCCAAAGUUAUAAAAGCAACGAGCGUCUCGGCCACGCCCUGUGGCGAGUGGGAGUUGGAUUUGCAAGCGAGCGUAGGAGGUCAGCGGUAGUUCAGCAUUAGCAUAUAGCAUUAGCAUAUCCUAGUCUUUAGCAUAUCUUUUAGUGUUAUAAAUACUUAUUUAGUGUUAGAUUUGGCUGUUGGAUAUUGUAGUUUAGUUAGUGUUUGGCUGUUAGUGUAAUUGGGAAAGUAGUUCGGGUUUAGUGCUCCAUAUCGUGUUAGUAUUGGUGAGUAGGUGUAGUGUAGUAUGGUUGAGGUGACUCUGUGGGCAUUUUACCCGCGAUUCUGCACGUCUCCGUUUGAAGAGGGAGGCUGCCCACCAUGGCUCUUCCGCGAUUUAGAUGCGGCCCACCGACUCUGCUCCCCCACCACGGCGGGCUCCAGUCUGAGGCUAAAUCUACCCAAGACACUGGCUGUCAGACUGAUUUAGCUGCAAUAAUGCACUUGUCCAGGCAGACGUGAAGCCUUACCUGUAGCAAAGCCAGCCAGAAUGGAGUUCACAGCCGCAGUGUGUCUGGUGACCCACAGGGACCAUGAUGGAAAUUCAUCUUCCAGAAGGUCCCAGAGCAGCGGCCACACCCCCCUGAAAAGACCAAGGUGUGAGGUGUCUGCUGUUGAUUCCAGCUUCCACCUCAGUGACAGUGCAAGCUCAGUGAACUGUUCAAGGUAAAAAAAAAAUUAAAACAUUUCAGAAUUUUUAAGAUAUUAACAAUUAAAUAAGUAUGUGAUUACAUCAUGAUGGAGGCUACUGAUUCUGGCCCUGUGACACUUGGUGGUGACAUGUGAGCUGAUUCACCUGGAAAACAACUUUUACAUUAAAUAUUUUGUUUUUGCUAUCAAAAGUAAAUUAACUAAUAACCUGCAUUAUUGCAGGACACUCAGCAAAAUAUGGACUCUACACCAUGAGGCAGGCACACAUUAAUAUUCUAUAAGAGCACAUAAGGUGAGCAACACCACAUAUUGUACACUGUCCUGAAUUUGUUUUCUUUCUGCAUCUCAUUAGCCUGGCUGAUCACCUGAUAACUCCUGUCAUCUGGUUAUGACAGCAUGAGGAUGUCCUCACACACCUGUAACCUAUCAGCUCCUCUGGCAGAAUAGAGAGGGGAGACAACACCACAUCUCCUGUUCCUGGAAAGCCUUCAGCCAUCCUUCGAUGACUGAGAACCUCCAUCAGCUCUGUCUCCUGUCUGCCUACAAUUAUUAUAAUAAAUAUUGUGUUUGACAAGUUUUUUUGUGCUGCCAAAUAUCUCAUAUAGAUUCCAGUUUUGAUAUUUUAAUGGAUAUUUAUAAAUUACAUAAA